This 254-nucleotide ribosomal RNA is filed under the name uncultured bacterium. Its description in RNAcentral is "partial 16S ribosomal RNA". It matches the Rfam family "Bacterial small subunit ribosomal RNA", at positions 524 to 776 of the family's 1533-position model. The record is from RNAcentral.
GACGAACCGUGCGAACGUUAUUCGGAAUCACUGGACUUAAAGCGCGUGUAGGCGGGCCGGCACGUCGGUCGCUGAAAUCCCCCGGCUCAACCGGGGAACGGGCGCCGAUACGACCGCCCUGGAGGGACGUAGGGGGACCUGGAACUUCCGGUGGAGCGGUGAAAUGCGUUGAGAUCGGAAGGAACGCCCGUGGCGAAAGCGAGGUCCUGGACGUUUUCUGACGCUGAGACGCGAAAGCCAGGGGAGCGAACGGG